UGGGGGAUAUUGCACAAUGGGCGAAAGCCUGAUGCAGCGACGCCGCGUGGGGGAUGAAGGCCUUCGGGUUGUAAACUUCUUUUGCUCUGAACAAGGCAUGCCUUUGGGGUGUGUUGAGUGUAGGGGUUGAUUAGCGCCGGCUAACUACGUGCCAGCAGCCGCGGUAAUACGUAGGGCGCGAGCGUUGUCCGGAAUUAUUGGGCGUAAAGGGCUUGUAGGUGGCUGGUUGCGUCUGUCGUGAAAGCUCAUGGCUUAACUGUGGGUUUGCGGUGGGUACGGGCUGGCUUGAGUGCAGUAGGGGAGGCUGGAAUUCCUGGUGUAGCGGUGGAAUGCGAAGAUAUCAGGAGGAAUACCGGUGGCGAAGGCGGGUCUCUGGGCUGUUACUGACGCUGAGGAGCGAAAGCGUGGGGAGCGAACAGG
Molecule: ribosomal RNA, 420 nt
Filed under: Fusobacteriota bacterium
Lineage: Bacteria; Fusobacteriati; Fusobacteriota
Description: Fusobacteria bacterium partial 16S ribosomal RNA
Rfam family: Bacterial small subunit ribosomal RNA
Source: RNAcentral